This 255-nucleotide ribosomal RNA is filed under the name uncultured bacterium. RNAcentral describes it as "partial 16S ribosomal RNA". It matches the Rfam family "Bacterial small subunit ribosomal RNA", at positions 524 to 776 of the family's 1533-position model. The record is from RNAcentral.
UACGUAGGGUGCAAGCGUUUAAUCGGAAUUACUGGGCGUAAAGCGUGCGCAGGCGGUUAUGUAAGACAGGUGUGAAAUCCCCGGGCUUAACCUGGGAACUGCAUUUGUGACUGCACGGCUAGAGUGUGUCAGAGGGGGGUAGAAUUCCACGUGUAGCAGUGAAAUGCGUAGAGAUGUGGAGGAAUACCGAUGGCGAAGGCAGCCCCCCUGGGAUAACACUGACGCUCAUGCACGAAAGCGUGGGGAGCAAACAGG